AUAGCAGCACCAGAAGAAUCAGCAGGAACCCACCAGGGCAGAGCCUCAGCUUUCAGCCUCCUAGAAUGAAGCGUGAACCCAAAGCAAAGAGCUGAACUGCUUUCACACCUCUGACUUCACAGACAAAGAAACAUGCAGUUCCGAAGUCUUGCCAGCCACACCAAAGAGCUUU
Long non-coding RNA from Rhinopithecus roxellana (golden snub-nosed monkey), 172 nucleotides. RefSeq lists it as uncharacterized. Lineage: Eukaryota; Metazoa; Chordata; Mammalia; Primates; Cercopithecidae. The transcript is spliced from 3 exons. The record is from RefSeq and is a predicted model, not a curated record.